GGAUGUGAAGGCGAUCUGGCUGCAGUGUCUGUCACCCCAUUGAUUAGCGUGGCUGAGUUGGCUGGCCUGGCUGGCUAAGUGGGCGCUCUCUUCCUCCCUCACUGCUUCACUUGUGCCCCUGCUCAGUUGAGGAGAAGGGCCUUCCCCAAAUUCAGGGCCAGUCUUCAGUGAAGGCAACUGAGCCCCUUGCUGGAACCUUCAAACCAGUUCUCAUUUUAAAACCUUAAAGAUUUAACAGUAAAGGGGAGAGGAUGGUUUUCAAAUUGUGGGAUUUU
This is an unclassified non-coding RNA of Cricetulus griseus (Chinese hamster), 275 nucleotides long. Its record names the gene 7SK. It matches the Rfam family "7SK RNA". Rfam says of the family: 7SK was discovered as an abundant small nuclear RNA in the mid-70s but a possible function has only recently been suggested. Lineage: Eukaryota; Metazoa; Chordata; Mammalia; Rodentia; Cricetidae. The record is from Ensembl.